RNAcentral lists this ribosomal RNA (497 nucleotides) under uncultured bacterium. RNAcentral's name for it is "partial 16S ribosomal RNA". It matches the Rfam family "Bacterial small subunit ribosomal RNA", at positions 28 to 507 of the family's 1533-position model. The record is from RNAcentral.
GAUGAACGCUGGCGGCGUGCCUAAUACAUGCAAGUCGAGCGAACGGACGAGAAGCUUGCUUCUCUGAUGUUAGCGGCGGACGGGUGAGUAACACGUGGAUAACCUACCUAUAAGACUGGGAUAACUUCGGGAAACCGUAGCUAAUACCGGAUAAUAUUUUGAACCGCAUGGUUCAAAAGUGAAAGACGGUCUUGCUGUCACUUAUAGAUGGAUCCGCGCUGCAUUAGCUAGUUGGUAAGGUAACGGCUUACCAAGGAAACGAUGCAUAGCCGACCUGAGAGGGUGAUCGGCCACACUGGAACUGAGACACGGUCCAGACUCCUACGGGAGGCAGCAGUAGGGAAUCUCCCGCAAUGGGCGAAAGCCUGACGGAGCAACGCCGCGUGAGUGAUGAAGGUCUUCGGAUCGUAAAACUCUGUUAUUAGGGAAGAACAUAUGUGUAAGUAACUGUGCACAUCUUGACGGUACCUAAUCAGAAAGCCACGGCUAACUACGUG